Molecule: long non-coding RNA, 735 nt
Organism: Carassius carassius (crucian carp)
Lineage: Eukaryota; Metazoa; Chordata; Actinopteri; Cypriniformes; Cyprinidae
Exons: 6
Source: RefSeq, a predicted model, not a curated record
UAAUUCAAUACUGAAACCCAGCAUUGUCACCAAGAUCAUGGAGGAGUUGGAGGAGGAAGAGAGUGGAGAUCAGUUUGAGCUGAACAUCGCAGUCACUAAUCCAGAGAAAAUUGGUUUGUAUUAUGCAACUUAUUUUUCAACGUGAAAGAGAUGGCAUGAAUGCCUACAUGUCUUACAAAGUGUCGACUCAGACUACACUGGUCAUGUUCCCUGAUAAGAUGUUCUCAGUGCGUCGACGUUUCAGUGAUUUUCUGGGACUUUAUGAGAAGAUAUCAGUCAAACACUCCCUGCUGGGUUGCAUCAUUCCACCUCCACCUCAGAAGAGUGUAGUGGGUAUAAAAGCUCUCAUGCUCACUCUGGCUCCAUGGAGUUAUUCUAGUGAGCUCAUCUAUACCCCUGUUCCACCAAGGCAGUUUGAGUGCUGGAUCGGAGCCAGAGCCUAGUUUCAGAUCGGUUCUUUGUCUUUUGACAACCAAAGCACCAUCUCCGAACCAGGAAAAGUGGUUAGGAUGACUAAAGUGAAGGUGGGGAAGGAGGAUUCAUCCUCGGCAGAGUUUGUGGAAAAGAGACAAGCAGCACUGGAGAGGUCCCCAGCCCGGGAUCGACCCUGCAAUCAAUCCCGGGAUGUGUUUGCAUUCAUACAGAAGGCACCCUGGCAAUUUCCAGUAUGAAAGGGGAUAUAGACAGUCACGAGGAUUAAAGACAGUAAAUAUGGACAAAUACAGAAAAUAGUGU